RNAcentral lists this transfer RNA (87 nucleotides) under Gammaproteobacteria bacterium. RNAcentral describes it as "tRNA-Leu". It matches the Rfam family "tRNA". Rfam says of the family: Transfer RNA (tRNA) molecules are approximately 80 nucleotides in length. Their secondary structure includes four short double-helical elements and three loops (D, anti-codon, and T loops). Lineage: Bacteria; Pseudomonadati; Pseudomonadota; Gammaproteobacteria. RNAcentral also lists the same sequence under 1 other name. The record is from RNAcentral.
GCCGGGGUGGCGAAACUGGUAGACGCGCUGGAUUCAAAAUCCAGUUGGGGCAACUCAGUGCCGGUUCGAUUCCGGCCCUCGGUACCA